AUACUUACCUUAAGAUGUCAGGGGAGAUCAAGAAGUCCUACUGAUGAUACAUAUGUUUUCAAUUAUUCUUUCCUCUUUUCAUGUUUUUAUUUCGAUAAAAGAUGAGAAUGAAGAAUUAGAAGGAUGCAAGCCAUUUAAUAUGACAGUUAGAAUUCAGUAGUGUAAUUUAUUAUGCUACUGAGUUUCUGCUGUUGUUGUAAUUGAUGGUAGCUCCUUAGUCAACUUACACAAACUGUUGCGAAAAAUGUGUAUUCCGACGAUUCGUUUUCUUGUUUAAUCAGGAAUCAUAAUAUUUUGCUUUUUUUUCAUGUGUUUUGCUAUGCAUGGAAAGAAUAUAGUCGAAUAUUAUGUCUUGAUUGAGCCCUUUUUUCUUCUGCCUGGAGAAGUAUGGCACUGACUAAUAUCAGUGUUAGGAAAGUUGGAUUUGAUUGAGAUUGAAUAUUCAAUUGCUUGUUUGAUGCAUAUGUUACUUUAUAGUUUAAUUAUGCUGUUCUCUCGGGAAGUUCUUUGAUUGGGUUUUGAUUGAUUCAUUUACAUUAGUAAUAUUCUUCGGAGUACAUUAAAGUAGAGAGAAGGUUGAAUCAUUUCUUGAUCAAUUAAUUGGCAUUAUUAGAUUAUAUUCUAAAUAUGUUCUUAGCCAUUUAUUUGACGAUGAACGAUGUUGACUAACCAAGCUAUUCCUAUAUUCUAUUAUAUCUUAAUCAAAUUUGAUAGAAUCGGGUGGGUCUUAUAAUUUUUGAUUUAUUUU
This 748-nucleotide small nuclear RNA is filed under the name Tetrapisispora phaffii CBS 4417. RNAcentral's name for it is "Yeast U1 spliceosomal RNA". It matches the Rfam family "Yeast U1 spliceosomal RNA". Rfam says of the family: U1 is a small nuclear RNA (snRNA) component of the spliceosome (involved in pre-mRNA splicing). Its 5' end forms complementary base pairs with the 5' splice junction, thus defining the 5' donor site of an intron. Lineage: Eukaryota; Fungi; Ascomycota; Saccharomycetes; Saccharomycetales; Saccharomycetaceae. The record is from Rfam by way of RNAcentral.